This 498-nucleotide ribosomal RNA is filed under the name uncultured bacterium. RNAcentral describes it as "partial 16S ribosomal RNA". It matches the Rfam family "Bacterial small subunit ribosomal RNA", at positions 28 to 507 of the family's 1533-position model. The record is from RNAcentral.
GACGAACGCUGGCGGCGUGCCUAAUACAUGCAAGUCGAACGAGAGCGACCGGUGCUUGCACUGGUCAAUCUAGUGGCGAACGGGUGAGUAACACGUGGGUAACCUGCCCAUCAGAGGGGGAUAACAUCCGGAAACGGAUGCUAAAACCGCAUAGGUCUUCGAGCCGCAUGGCUUGAAGAGGAAAAGAGGCGCAAGCUUCUGCUUAUGGAUGGACCCGCGGUGCAUUAGCUAGUUGGUGAGGUAACGGCUCACCAAGGCCGUGAUGCAUAGCCGACCUGAGAGGGUGAUCGGCCACAUUGGGACUGAGACACGGCCCAAACUCCUACGGGAGGCAGCAGUAGGGAAUCUUCCGCAAUGGACGCAAGUCUGACGGAGCAACGCCGCGUGAGUGAAGAAGGUUUUCGGAUCGUAAAACUCUGUUGUUAGAGAAGAACAAGUGCUAGAGUAACUGUUAGCGCCUUGACGGUAUCUAACCAGAAAGCCACGGCUAACUACGUG